This 483-nucleotide ribosomal RNA is filed under the name uncultured bacterium. RNAcentral's name for it is "partial 16S ribosomal RNA". It matches the Rfam family "Bacterial small subunit ribosomal RNA", at positions 30 to 506 of the family's 1533-position model. The record is from RNAcentral.
AUUGAACGCUGGCGGCAGGCCUAACACAUGCAAGUCGAGCGGAUGAAGGGAGCUUGCUCCUGGAUUCAGCGGCGGACGGGUGAGUAAUGCCUAGGAAUCUGCCUGGUAGUGGGGGAUAACGUCCGGAAACGGGCGCUAAUACCGCAUACGUCCUGAGGGAGAAAGUGGGGGAUCUUCGGACCUCACGCUAUCAGAUGAGCCUAGGUCGGAUUAGCUAGUUGGUGGGGUAAAGGCCUACCAAGGCGACGAUCCGUAACUGGUCUGAGAGGAUGAUCAGUCACACUGGAACUGAGACACGGUCCAGACUCCUACGGGAGGCAGCAGUGGGGAAUAUUGGACAAUGGGCGAAAGCCUGAUCCAGCCAUGCCGCGUGUGUGAAGAAGGUCUUCGGAUUGUAAAGCACUUUAAGUUGGGAGGAAGGGCAGUAAGUUAAUACCUUGCUGUUUUGACGUUACAAACAGAAUAAGCACCGGCUAACUUCGU